RNAcentral lists this ribosomal RNA (255 nucleotides) under uncultured Gardnerella sp. RNAcentral describes it as "partial 16S ribosomal RNA". It matches the Rfam family "Bacterial small subunit ribosomal RNA", at positions 99 to 355 of the family's 1533-position model. Lineage: Bacteria; Bacillati; Actinomycetota; Actinomycetes; Bifidobacteriales; Bifidobacteriaceae. The record is from RNAcentral.
CGAACGGGUGAGUAAUGCGUGACCAACCUGCCCCAUGCUCCAGAAUAGCUCUUGGAAACGGGUGGUAAUGCUGGAUGCUCCAACUUGACGCAUGUCUUGUUGGGAAAGUGUUUAGUGGCAUGGGAUGGGGUCGCGUCCUAUCAGCUUGUAGGCGGGGUAAUGGCCCACCUAGGCUUCGACGGGUAGCCGGCCUGAGAGGGCGGACGGCCACAUUGGGACUGAGAUACGGCCCAGACUCCUACGGGAGGCAGCAGC